RNAcentral lists this ribosomal RNA (1365 nucleotides) under Pentacosmia sp. NLG-2014. Its description in RNAcentral is "partial 16S ribosomal RNA". Lineage: Eukaryota; Metazoa; Arthropoda; Insecta; Coleoptera; Cerambycidae. The record is from RNAcentral.
UUCUUGAAAUUUAAAGAUUUUGGCGGUAUUUUAGUCAGUUCAGAGGAACCUGUUUUGUAAUCGAUAAUCCACGAGUUAAUUAACUUUUUUUAAUAGUUUGUAUAUCGUUGUACUAGAAAAUUUUAUUAGAAUAGAAUUUUCAAAGAAUUUUUGAAAUAGAAUAUCAAAUCAAGGUAUAGCUUAUAAGAAAGAAAUAAUGGGUUACAUUAAUAUUAAUUUAAAGAUUUUAAAUUUAAAGUUUAAAUGAAUUUGGAUUUGAUAGUAAUUUUAAUUAAAUUAUUAGUAUGAUUUUAGCUCUAAAAUAUGUACAUAUCGCCCGUCGCUUUCAUUAUAUGUGGAAUAAGUCGUAACAAAGUAGUCUUACUGGAAAGUGAGUCUAGAAAGACAAAUAAGAGCUAGGUAUAGUAUUUUAGUUACAUUAAAAAGAGAAUUGUUAAUUCAGUUUUAUUUGAUUGGAAAUUUUUAUUAUUAAAAAAUAAAUUUAAUAAAUAGUUAAAUAAAAUAAUAUAAAUUUUAGUUUUAAAUAAAAAAAAUUAAUUUUAUUAUAGAUGAAUAGUAUUGUAAAAGAUAAAGUUAUUAAAAUUAAAAGAAAAAGUUAAUUUUGUACCUUGUGUAUCAGGGUUUAUUAAAAAUUAGUUAAAUAAUUUAAUCUCGAAUUUAAAAGAGUUAAAAUAAUAUAAAUAUUAUUGUUAAAUAAAUAUUUAAAAUGUUAUUUUAGUAAUGAAAUGUUAAUCGUUUUUAAUAUAUCUAGUUAUUUAAGAAAAAAAUUUAAUUUUAUUUAUUAUAAUAUUUUAUUUUUUAGUUAAUAAAAUAUUAAUAAUAAGUUAAUUUUUUAAGGGAAAAGCUUUAAGAAAUAUUUUUAAAAAUAAUAUAAAUUUAAAUGAAUUUUAGGAUUAGAAAUGUCUAAAAAUAAAAAAUUGUUAUAAUUAAUAUUUAUAAAAUUAAAAUUUAUAUAACUUUUUAAGGUUUUAUAUUAAAUUAUAAAUUUUAGUUAAUAAAAUUUAGUAAUUAUGAUAAAACUUAGUAAUUAAUUAUAUUUAAUAAAAUAAAUUAUUAAGGUUUAAUAAAAGAAUUCGGCAAAAAAUUUUUUACCUGUUUAUUAAAAACAUGGCCUUUUGUUAAUAAUUUAAGGUCUAGCCUGCCCACUGAGGAUUUAAAUGGCCGCGGUAAUAUGACCGUGCAAAGGUAGCAUAAUCAUUAGUCUUUUAAAUGGAAACUGGUAUGAAAGGUUGCAUAAAAAAAUAACUGUUUCUAUUAAAUUUAUUAUGAAUUUUAUUUUUAAGUAAAAAAGCUUAAAUUUAUUUAAAAGACGAGAAGACCCUAUAGAGUUUAAUAAAUAUUUAAUUUUAAUUUUUUGGAAAUUUA